This 512-nucleotide ribosomal RNA is filed under the name uncultured bacterium. RNAcentral describes it as "partial 16S ribosomal RNA". It matches the Rfam family "Bacterial small subunit ribosomal RNA", at positions 355 to 874 of the family's 1533-position model. The record is from RNAcentral.
UGGGGAAUAUUGCACAAUGGGCGCAAGCCUGAUGCAGCAACGCCGCGUGAGGGAUGACGGCCUUCGGGUUGUAAAACCUCUUUUAGUAGGGAAGAAGCGAAAGUGACGGUACCUGCAGAAAAAGCACCGGCUAACUACGUGCCAGCAGCCGCGGUAAUACGUAGGGUGCGAGCGUUGUCCGGAAUUAUUGGGCGUAAAGAGCUCGUAGGCGGUCUGUCGCGUCUGCUGUGAAAACCCGAGGCUCAACCUCGGGCCUGCAGUGGGUACGGGCAGACUAGAGUGCGGUAGGGGAGAAUGGAAUUCCUGGUGUAGCGGUGGAAUGCGCAGAUAUCAGGAGGAACACCGAUGGCGAAGGCAGUUCUCUGGGCCGUAACUGACGCUGAGGAGCGAAAAGCGUGGGGAUGCGAACAGGAUUAGAUACCCUGGUAGUCCACGCCGUAAACGUUGGGCGCUAGAUGUGGGGACCAUUCCACGGUUUCCGUGUCGCAGCUAACGCAUUAAGCGCCCCGCCU